UUAAUUAUUUCUCGGUCAUGAAUCAAAAAAUUUAUAGAUUACAAUUUGUUCAUCAAGCACAAAUCACAAAUUUCAUAAGUCACAAUUCAUAUUUUUAAGUCAUAUAUUAUUUAUUGGUCAUAAUUUAUCGAUGACAUUAUUUAUUGGUCACAAAAUGUCCAAAUCCAAAAUUACCAGUCACCGUCUCAACCACCACCUCACCACACACAAAACUUCAACUAAGCAAGUCAGAGGAAAAAAGCCAACCGAAAACCAUCGCCGCUGCAUACUACCUCCACCCACCGCACCACCACCACUGGCAUCAUCAUCGCACACACCACCGCACUACCACAAAUUUUCACUCUUUUGUGUCAAACAAAGAUGUGCAACCGCCAUGAAGACGUGGCGAGUAACAGAUUCGUCGUCACCGUCUUCUUAACAGCUAUGCAGUGGUGAUGUCUGCUUCGAAGUGACAAUGCUGCAGACGUUGGUUGCUUCAAAGCGAUGCCAUUGUGGUGGUGACGUUUUUGAGCAUCGCGCCGUGGCAUCUCCAAUGGUAAGGAGAGAAAAGAUAAUGGAGGGAUAUAGAGAGACGAAGGAAAUGAUAGAUAGAGAAAAGAUAGAAGAAAAUGCGUGGUAAUUAGGUUGGAAGGUUAGACAUGUG
This 643-nucleotide long non-coding RNA is filed under the name Olea europaea (common olive). Its description in RNAcentral is "long non-coding RNA (OEUR_LNC008795)". The record is from RNAcentral. Lineage: Eukaryota; Viridiplantae; Streptophyta; Magnoliopsida; Lamiales; Oleaceae.